Molecule: ribosomal RNA, 253 nt
Filed under: uncultured bacterium
Lineage: Bacteria
Description: partial 16S ribosomal RNA
Rfam family: Bacterial small subunit ribosomal RNA
Source: RNAcentral
UACGUAGGGACCGAGCGUUGUCCGGAAUCAUUGGGCGUAAAGAGCGUGUAGGCGGCCUUUUAAGUCCUGCGUGAAAUCCUGCGGCUCAACCGCAGACGGUCGUGGGAAACUGGAAGGCUAGAGUGCGGGAGAGGAGAGUGGAAUUCCCGGUGUAGCGGUGAAAUGCGCAGAUAUCGGGAAGAACACCCGUGGCGAAGGCGGCUCUCUGGAACGGUACUGACGCUGAGACGCGAAAGCGUGGGGAGCGAACAGG